RNAcentral lists this ribosomal RNA (3422 nucleotides) under Koerneria luziae. Its description in RNAcentral is "eukaryotic LSU rRNA". It matches the Rfam family "Eukaryotic large subunit ribosomal RNA". Lineage: Eukaryota; Metazoa; Nematoda; Chromadorea; Rhabditida; Neodiplogasteridae. The record is from RNAcentral.
GAAGUGUAGCGUAUAGGUGUUGACGCUCUGGUGCGAUUGCUUGCUCUGGGUUCACUGGAAAGUGGCUUGCCAAAGAAGGUGGAAGGCCUGUAAGAGYGAGCGAUUGUGCCGGUUUGUCGGCGCCUGGGAGUCGGGUUGCUUGAAAACGCAGCCCAAAGUGGGUGGUAAACCCCAUCUAAGGCUAAAUACGACCACAAGACCGAUAGCAAACAAGUACCGUGAGGGAAAGUUGCAAAGAACUUUGAAGAGAGAGUUUAAGAGUACGUGAAACCACUAGGAUGGAAGCGGAUAGAGCUGACGAGUAGCCGGCGAUAUUCAGCGUGUUGGCUGUCCGGAGUGCUGGAGACUGCCUGUGACGUUGUCACGGGCGCUUCGGGCUUGUCGGUGACGGUCUAGCGUGCAUUUAUCGUCGGUGUUGUGCUGAGAGCCAUGGUGCGUCGCUCCGGCGCCUGAGGUGUUGCCGACCGCUUCGGCGGACGUGUCUUGCCUCGGGACUGCUGGUUCUGUCGUGCUAUGGUGUCUAUGUACAGAGCABCGCGAAUGUGACGCCCUCRGGUGUCGCUGCUCUAUCUCGGCAUGUGAAKUCGGUCACCUAUCCGUCCCGUCUUGAAACACGGACCAAGAAGUCUAGCAUGUGCGCGAGUCAAUGGGCUUGUUAAACCCAUGGGCGUAAUGAAAGUAAAGGUCGGUUCGGCCGGCUGAUAUGGGAUCCGUUGAGGUUUCGGCCUCGGCGGCGCACCAUAGCCCCAUCCUGAACGCUUGCGUUGGGGUGGCGGAAGAGCGUACAUGCUGGGACCCGAAAGAUGGUGAACUAUGCCUGAGCAGGACGAAGCCAGAGGAAACUCUGGUGGAAGUCCGUAGCGGUUCUGACGUGCAAAUCGAUCGUCUGACUCGGGUAUAGGGGCGAAAGACUAAUCGAACCAUCUAGUAGCUGGUUCCCUCCGAAGUUUCCCUCAGGAUAGCUGGAACUAUGAAUAGUUGUAUCCGGUAAAGAUAAUGAUUAGAGGAAACGGGGACGAAAUGUCCUCGACCUAUUCUCAAACUUUCAAUGGUUAUGAAGUCAAUGUUGCUUAAUUGAACUUUGACAGUGAAUAAUGUGGUUCCAAGUGGGCCAUUUUUGGUAAGCAGAACUGGCGAUGUGGGAUGAACCAAACGUUGAGUUAAGGUGCCUAACUCUCCGCUCAUGAGACCCCAUGAAAGGCGUUGGUUGAUAUAGACAGCAGGACGGUGGCCAUGGAAGUCGGAAUCCGCUAAGGAGUGUGUAACAACUCACCUGCCGAAUCAACUAGCCCUGAAAAUGGAUGGCGCUUGAGCGGGGGACCUAUACUCGACCGUCGCUCAGCUUGUACGUAUUGGUAGUGCGUCUGGCUGCGACGAGUAGGAGGGUCGCGGCGGUUGCGCAGAAGCCUUGGGGCGUAGGCCCAGGUGGAGCUUCCGUCGGUGCAGAUCUUGGUGGUAGUAGCAAAUAUUCAAGUGAGAUCCUUGAAGACUGAAGUGGGGAAGGGUUCCACGUGAACAGCAGUUGAAUGUGGGUCAGUCGGUCCUAAGGUACUGCCUAAUGGCGUGUAUCAAUGCGGAGCGGCGCUUCGGCGCAUGUUCUGCGGAAGCCGAAAGGGAAGCGGGUUAAUAUUCCCGCACCUGGACUCGGAGAUUGGUGCUCUUCGGAGUGCCAUGAGCGGUAACGCAAACGAGCUCGAUGACGCUAAGCAGAGCCCCGGCCAGAGAUCUCUUCUUUGGUUAAGGAACGGACUCCCUGGAAACGGUUUAGCCGGAGAUAGGGACGUUGUUUCCGUAUAGCAGCGCGGUUUCUGUGCUGUCCGGUGCGCUUUGCUUGGCCCUUGAAAAGUCGAGUAAGUCGUGUUAAUCUCGAGCCUGGCCGUACCCAUAUCCGCAGCAGGUCCUCAAGGUGAACAGCCUCUAGUCGAUAGAAUAAUGUAGGUAAGGGAAGUCGGCAAAUUUGAUCCGUAACUUCGGGAAAAGGAUUGGCUCUAAGGACCGGUUGGUCGGGCAUCGUGCUGAAGCUUGUGCAAGUCGCCGCUACGAGUGCGUUAGGCUUCGGCUGAGCGCAUUCUAGUCGGCGGCGCGCCUUGUGUACGCGCGUUGCUUGUGCGGUCGCUCUCGGGCGGUCGUACGUCGAUCAACACUAAACGGUCGACUUAGAACUGGUACGGACGCGGGGAAUCCGACUGUCUAAUUAAAACAGAGGAGAUAGAUGGCCCUUGCGGGCGCUGACUAUCUCUGAUUUCUGCCCAGUGCUCUGAAUGUUAACGUGGAGUAAUUCAACUAAGCGCGGGUAAACGGCGGGAGUAACUAUGACUCUCUUAAGGUAGCCAAAUGCCUCGUCAUCUAAUUAGUGACGCGCAUGAAUGGAUUAACGAGAUUCCCACUGUCCCUAUCUACUAUCUAGCGAAACCACAGCCAAGGGAACGGGCUUGGCGAAAAUAGCGGGGAAAGAAGACCCUGUUGAGCUUGACUCUAGUUUGACUCUGUGAAGAGUCAUGGGAGGUGUAGUAUAAGUGGGAGGUCUUCGGGCCGACAGUGAAAUACCACUACUUUCAUCGAUUCUUUACUUAUUCGGUAAGGCGAGAAUUGCGGCCCUCGCGGGUUGCUUGGUUCUGGUGCUAAGCUCGACCGCUCGGCGGUUGGGCGACUUGCGCCGAAGACAGUGUCAGGCGGGGAGUUUGACUGGGGCGGUACAUCUGUCAAAUUGUAACGCAGGUGUCCUAAGGCUAGCUCAGAGAGGACGGAAACCUCUCGUAGAGCAAAAGGGCAAAAGCUUGCUUGAUCUUGAUUUUCAGCACGAAUACAGACCGCGAAAGCGUGGCCUAUCGAUCCUUAGCACUUAGAGGGUUUCUAAGCUGAGGUGUCGGAAAAGUUACCACAGGGAUAACUGGCUUGUGGCAGCCAAGCGUCCAUAGCGACGUUGCUUUUUGAUCCUUCGAUGUCGGCUCUUCCUAUCAUUGCGAAGCAGAAUUCGCCAAGCGUUGGAUUGUUCACCCACCAAUAGGGAACGUGAGCUGGGUUUAGACCGUCGUGAGACAGGUUAGUUUUACCCUACUGUUGACGAGUUGUUGCGAUAGUAAUCCUACUCAGUACGAGAGGAACCGUAGGUUCAGACAUUUGGUUCAUGUGCUUGGCCGAUCGGCCAAUGGUGCGACGCUACCAUCUGCGGGAUUAUAACUGAACGCCUCUAAGUUAGAAUCCCAUCUAGUCGUUGUGUGUGCGAACGAUACCUAGCUUCCCGAAGUCGGGAGGCAAGUAUAUGUGGCCGCAAGGUCACAGCCUAUGCCCUAUCAGAUAACCUUGCCGGGCGGCGGAACGCCGUCCGGUUGUUAAGGCCGGAUAACUCUGGCUCAGUCAUCGGGGCGCCAAACCGCCUGCAUACGACAGGCGUACUGGUCCGGGUGUGUAUCCAGUAGAGC